UCUUUUAUGUUGUUAUUUAACUAUCUUGAUGGUACUCCUCAGUUCACUACAUGUCCUAGUUCAGUGUGUCUCUCUCAACCAGUUACUUAUGAGU
This 94-nucleotide long non-coding RNA is filed under the name Amphimedon queenslandica. RNAcentral's name for it is "uncharacterized LOC109582993, transcript variant X2". The record is from RNAcentral. Lineage: Eukaryota; Metazoa; Porifera; Demospongiae; Haplosclerida; Niphatidae.